Molecule: ribosomal RNA, 253 nt
Filed under: uncultured bacterium
Lineage: Bacteria
Description: partial 16S ribosomal RNA
Rfam family: Bacterial small subunit ribosomal RNA
Source: RNAcentral
UACGUAGGGUGCGAGCGUUGUCCGGAAUUAUUGGGCGUAAAGGGCUCGUAGGCGGUUUGUCGCGUCGGGAGUGAAAUCCACUGGCUUAACUGGUGGCUUGCUUUCGAUACGGGCAGACUGGAGGUAUGCAGGGGAGAACGGAAUUCCUGGUGUAGCGGUGAAAUGCGCAGAUAUCAGGAGGAACACCGGUGGCGAGGGCGGUUCUCUGGGCAUGUCCUGACGCUGAGGAGCGAAAGUGUGGGGAGCGAACAGG